Molecule: ribosomal RNA, 490 nt
Filed under: uncultured bacterium
Lineage: Bacteria
Description: partial 16S ribosomal RNA
Rfam family: Bacterial small subunit ribosomal RNA
Source: RNAcentral
AUUGAACGCUGGCGGCAGGCCUAACACAUGCAAGUCGAACGGUAACAGGAAGCAGCUUGCUGCUUUGCUGACGAGUGGCGGACGGGUGAGUAAUGUCUGUGAAACUGCCCGAUGGAGGGGGAUAACUACUGGAAACGGUAGCUACUACCGCAUAACGUCGCAAGACCAAAGAGGGGGACCUUAGGGCCUCUUGCCAUCGGAUGUGCCCAGUUGGGAUUAGCUAGUAGGUGGGGUAACGGCUCACCUAGGCGACGAUCCCUAGCUGGUCUGAGAGGAUGACCAGCCACACUGGAACUGAGACACGGUCCAGACUCCUACGGGAGGCAGCAGUGGGGAAUAUUGCACAAUGGGCGCAAGCCUGAUGCAGCCAUGCCGCGUGUAUGAAGAAGGCCUUCGGGUUGUAAAGUACUUUCAGCGGGGAGGAAGGGAGUAAAGUUAAUACCUUUGCUCAUUGACGUUACCCGCAGAAGAAGCACCGGCUAACUCCGUG